GAUGAACGCUGGCGGCGUGCCUAAUACAUGCAAGUCGAGCGAACAGAUGAGGAGCUUGCUCCUCUGACGUUAGCGGCGGACGGGUGAGUAACACGUGGAUAACCUACCUAUAAGACUGGGAUAACUUCGGGAAACCGGAGCUAAUACCGGAUAAUAUAUUGAACCGCAUGGUUCAAUAGUGAAAGACGGUUUUGCUGUCACUUAUAGAUGGAUCCGCGCCGCAUUAGCUAGUUGGUAAGGUAACGGCUUACCAAGGCGACGAUGCGUAGCCGACCUGAGAGGGUGAUCGGCCACACUGGAACUUAGACACGGUCCAGACGCCUACGGGAGGCAGCAGUAGGGAAUCUUCCGCAAUGGGCGAAAGCCUGACGGAGCAACGCCGCGUGAGUGAUGAAGGUCUUCGGAUCGUAAAACUCUGUUAUUAGGGAAGAACAAAUGUGUAAGUAACUAUGCACGUCUUGACGGUACCUAAUCAGAAAGCCACGGCUAACUACGUG
This 497-nucleotide ribosomal RNA is filed under the name uncultured bacterium. RNAcentral describes it as "partial 16S ribosomal RNA". It matches the Rfam family "Bacterial small subunit ribosomal RNA", at positions 28 to 507 of the family's 1533-position model. The record is from RNAcentral.